This 497-nucleotide ribosomal RNA is filed under the name uncultured bacterium. RNAcentral describes it as "partial 16S ribosomal RNA". It matches the Rfam family "Bacterial small subunit ribosomal RNA", at positions 28 to 507 of the family's 1533-position model. The record is from RNAcentral.
GAUGAACGCUGGCGGCGUGCCUAAUACAUGCAAGUCGAGCGAACAGACGAGGAGCUUGCUCCUCUGACGUUAGCGGCGGACGGGUGAGUAACACGUGGAUAACCUACCUAUAAGACUGGGAUAACUUCGGGAAACCGGAGCUAAUACCGGAUAAUAUAUUGAACCGCAUGGUUCAAUAGUGAAAGACGGUUUUGCUGUCACUUAUAGAUGGAUCCGCGCCGCAUUAGCUAGUUGGUAAGGUAACGGCUUACCAAGGCAACGAUGCGUAGCCGACCUGAGAGGGGGGACCGCCACAAUGGAACCUAGGACCGGUCCCGAACGCCAAGGGAGGGCGGAGUUGGGGAACUUUCGGAAUGGGCGAAAGCUUGACGGAGCAACGCCGCGUGAGUGAUGAAGGUCUUCGGAUCGUAAAACUCUGUUAUUAGGGAAGAACAAAUGUGUAAGUAACUAUGCACGUCUUGACGGUACCUAAUCAGAAAGCCACGGCUAACUACGUG